ACCAUCCCUCCUAAAAACCAAACAAGCCACACACACCUUUUCGUCAGACACCUAUAGUUAAUAAUUAAAUACAGAAUAUUAAGAACUAAACUAAACCAUGACUCUACUAACAGUGCUUAAGAUACCUUCUCAAUGUGUAAUUUGGAGUAACAUCCACUGCUAUGGUGUUAAAUGACUCAAUGGGCUACAAAACCAGUAACGUCAUUCAGUUACAUAUAGGAGAAUGAAUAUGGGUCUAUAUUCUACAUUUUUAUGCAAACAAUAUAAGACUGUUGAGGGAUUCCAGGACAAUUGAUGAUAACAAAAUUUAGUUAUUAAAUGGAUUUGAAGUUUGGUUAAAAAUCUAGCCUUUAGCAAUCAAGAUGCAGACUUCUCCAAUUUGAAACAGAAGACAAGCGCUAACUUGUACUGAGGAAACUCUUGGCUUGUGUGCAAUAACUGCAGAAUCCAGAGCCAUCAGUGGAGUUUGAUAUAGUAGCGAACAAAAAGCAGCAGCACGAAGUUAAUGUCGCUAUAUGGAACUCUUUUCUUGUUCUUUUUAGUGUUUGUAUAAUAA
Molecule: long non-coding RNA, 556 nt
Organism: Zingiber officinale
Lineage: Eukaryota; Viridiplantae; Streptophyta; Magnoliopsida; Zingiberales; Zingiberaceae
Exons: 2
Source: RefSeq, a predicted model, not a curated record